UCCCCUGGUGGCCAUCCAUGGAUGCGGCGGUGGGCUCUGCUUCCUCAUUAGAUUAAAUUUUGGUAUUACAUUUUUUAGCACUUAAUGUGAAUGUUCUAUAGUCUCUAUUGUGCAGGCGGGUCUACUCUCCCUCUUGAGGCGAGUGUGGAUGUAAUGGAUAUUGAUUGUGGUUGUUCGGACAAAAAUAUUGCAUGGAAACAUUAUAUACUGAUGGUGAGACUUCCAAUUCCUUUAUGUUUUGUCCGUUUAAUCAAGAACAAUGUUUAGAGCUUACAUGGCUGUCUAAGUUUAGUGCUGUAAGAGAAAUAUUGAUGUCAUGCAAUGAUCAGUGUGGAGUAGGGUAGUUUUUCUUACAAAGUUGUUCCUCAGUUCUCAUUGAGCAAAGAUUGAACGCGUGUGAUUUGAUCUACUACCAAGUCAAAUCUCGGUCCACAUUGUCGGAGUUUUCUUAUUAAGUUUUUUUUGUUGCUAUUAGUAUUUUCAUUUAUGCAGAGGGGCCGGGUAUAAUGCUUAAACCUUUUAAGUAAUAAAGCUCUCUUCAUCGAAAAUAAUAGUAUUUUCAUUUAAACUGGAAGUUUAUGUGAAGAAGGAGCUGUGUUGAAAUGUAUGAGUUUGUUUUCCUAUUUUUUUUGGAAGAAUGAGACUACCAUUAACAGUAUCAAGUUUGUAGCUGCUCAUCGUCUCAUCCAUAAAAAAAGGUUGUAGCUGCUCACGUAAUAUUCACACAUCGUCGGUGGCAUGUCAGUGGCAGGCGGAAGGAAGCUUCUGUUUGACAAAUCUCAUUUUUCUAGCAACUACAAGAAAUCAGUGAAGCAGUAGGAAGUAGGAACACAGUUCAGAAGAUUAUCUGAUGACAUGAUAUGCUACCAGGUGCCUUUUAGUGCGUAACAAAUGUAACUUCUUCUCCAACAAAAAUAAUAAUGAGAGGCAAAAAAAUGAAGCAUCUUGAGUACCAUCCGCAGAUACAUAUUUUGUUCCAUUAGAAAAUACAACUAUAUUUUAUUACAUUUAGGUCAUGUUAUAUCGUGCAUGUGUGUUACAGGUGUUUCUCUCUACUUUGUGCUCCAGAUUUGUUUUCCCUGCAAUAUGGCAGAUUAAUGUAUAUUCUUCUGAAGUCAUAGUACAUUGUUUAAUCUGGGGUUUACUCCGGUGUCAAGUGUACUAUAUUGCUAGAUUUAACUUUAAUCUACACGAGUUGCUCUGUAGCUAUUUCAGCAUAAAUGGUUCAUCAUACUAGGAUUUAAUUAGUGAUCUAACUUCUGUUGCUUCUUGGUGAAUAUGAAAUAUAUUGUGUUUUCAUGGAAGCAGGAGAGGAGUAGUUGUGGAGCGGGUCGUGGGAGAGACGGUUGGUUAGCAUGGGCUGGACGGGAAGGUGAUGCCUGCGAUGGCGACCAAGCCGGCGGGUAGGGCAGGGGCGACUGUGGCCAUUGUGGUGUUUUCAAGGGAGAGCGAGGCAACUGCAAUCACGCAACUGAAGAAGUCGAAACCCGGGGCGAAGUUGGCCAACAUGAAAGCUGACAAACCUAAAUGCCGGUGAUAGGUUGUUCGCUGCUGUCGCGCCGUCUUUGAACUUGGUGGAGAGGCAGAACGGCAGAAGGAGAACGGUGGCGCCGUGAAGACCUUGACGACUGCUGCCAUGACCACAACCAUGAUGAUUGUGUUGGUAAUAAAGAUACUAAUUAUAUACAAAUCCCCCAGCUUUGAAAACAUUAGAUUAUCCAACUUAUUAUUCAAAUUCUUGAUUCAAGAUAAAUGGAAAUUUCCUAUAUACAAUGAGCUUAUUAUUUUUUUUAGAAAAGGAGGAUGACACCCGGCCUCUCCAUCUGGGAGAUGCAUACGGUCACUUUAUUGAUUAUUCUCGAGGACCUUACAAAGUAUUACAACAAUAUGCCUGAAUCCAUCAUCUUGGCAUCUGCCGCUACUUCUAUCCAUACAAUGAGCUUAUUAUUGAAGGUUGCAUCGAUUAUGCUAUUAUUACUGAAAUAAGAGGCUUAUGAAAUUUUCAAUCUUUGUGUACCUUGUAAUAGUGAUUGUCAAUCUUUGUGUACCUUGUAAUAUUGACACGUGGAUGCGUGAAGUUGAGUGAUACUCCCUCUCUAAAGAAAUAUAAGUGUUUAGAUUACUAUUAUCUAAACACUCUUAUAUUUCUUUACAGUGAGAAUACUAAUACUAUUUAUAAAUGGAUGAUAUAUAUCCAGUUAUAAGUUCUCGGGUGGCGAGCGAUUUGGCUGCUUAAGGAGAUAGGAAGAUUGCCGAGAAGGAAAAAAAGUGGAAGAGAAUUUAUAUUUGUCGUUCCAUGAUGAAAACUGGAUGUAACCGCUUAACCCGUAUUUCUAAAUUAGAAGAAUAAUUUGAUCAAUGUGUCCAUAUUUUUAUUAUUCCGUGGCAACACAUGGGUAUUCUGCUUUUACCCGUAGCAACGCACGGGCAUUGUACUAGUAAGAUAUAAGAUGUGGGACUUGGCCACAUGACUACAUUGCACUAGUUGGCACUGCCAAAAGAAGGAUUGUGAGGCUUUUCAAAUAGUUUGCCACUUUUAUAAUUUAAAAAUGCAUUUAAUCUAUUUGUUUUAGCCAUUGUUUUUUCAGUUUAGGGCACUUAUACAUUUUGCAAAAUGUUGGUUCACCACCAAUAUUAGUUAUGGAUUAUUUGGCACAAGAUGAACAUUUUAGAUUUCAUGUCUGACAAAUAUGAAUUUUUACUUUAGAUUGGAUUUGAAUUUGAAUUGCGAUUCGGAUCAAGUGAAGAUUAGCAACAGUAUCAUGAUGACAUGGCACCAUUAACAGGGGAUUACUGUAGCAUGACACCAGGGGUGUUACAAAUCUCCUCCACUACAAGAAAUCUCGUCCCGAGAUUUAAGGGUUGGAGUAAGGGGGGAAGACUCGGGAAGGACGAAGCUCAACACAACAUAGGUACCUGGGGCUCUCUCGGUGAGCGUGGCAUAGAGGCAUCUCCCGAGUUGAAAUUCAAGAAAGUCAUCGAGAGCAAGGUAAGGAGGAGCAAUAAGAAGCUUCAACCGGGUAGGCAAUCGUUUGAUGUCUGAAAUAGAGGGUGAAAAGGGUUCAAAGCAUCGAGAAUAAGUAUUGCAUCUGAUACCAGAACGGAUCACUAGGAAGGUGGCUCGUGAUUUACAUACGAAGCCCAGUGCGAGGAACAAUUUUUGGAAGACGGGGAUGUACAUGAGAGUAAGAUUUUGAUCCUAUGGAACUGUGGGUUAUGGGCCCACCAUGUGGGUUAACAGCAGGAAGGCGCUAAUCAUUUUGCACGGUCAUGAUAACAAGGCAGUUCGGAGUAUUGCCUGUCAGUUAUGUCAGCAACAAUAUCGGUACCAAGGGCGAGGGAUAAAGAGCAUGUUCCUGCUUGUUAAGACGAGGCGGACCAAUAGGCAAAGUUCUCGUCCAUCGGUGGCUACCGGAAUGUCAUCAACAAUAGUAACAAGGCCUUACUGAUAGAGUUUGUACACCGAGGUGUUUACAUAAGCAGGUAAUUAUCACUGCUCAGAUAUGUUAGGUUACAAGAAAGGUUAACAAAACAAUGGAAAGGGAAGUGUAGACUCGAACCUAUUAUCAGUGUUCUCAAGUGUCUAACAACUCAGAACCCAUGGAAAAUUGGAAUCAGAGAAAUAAUAGUUGAUGAAGAACUCAUAAGAGGUUAUGUAGUUCCGUGAUAUUCUCGUGAUACCAGAGGGUAAUACUCAAGGGUAUAGUAGAACAGAGGCUGGACGGGUGAAAUGCUCUUCAGAAGACAAGUACUUCCACUUGUCCGAGAAAUGGGAUCAAAAAAGAACAAUAUGGCCGGAACCACGGUUGCAAAGGACCGAACAUAGAUACAAGAUGAACUUAUCACAAGGGGAUUAGUAUUAUAGCGAGGAGCUUCCAUGAUAGGAUCUACAUCGUGUCCAUGGGCACGAACACAAUGUUCAAGGUCGACUCCCACUUCUCCAAUGCAUAACCUUCCAUUCACUCCUCGCAUUCGAAGAAGUUGUAGCAUUGAAAUUUUACCUGGCAAAAAGCUAGUAGAGUACACCCCGCAUAACUUUCGAGUUCACACGGAUUUAGGGAAGACAUAGAUUCAACCCAUUGGGGCAUCUUAGGAACAUAUACCACAAAAUUUAGGAAUAAAUAACUCAAGCUCGGAAGUAGAGCAUGGUUGACAAAAUCAGGGGAUACAAUUUACCAAAGGCAUUAUGUAUGCGAGGAAAAGCUCACAAGGUUACUGAAUAUGAAGGACGUUGUCGGAUAAACUCAACAAAGGAUCUAGUGGUCCACAAGGGAUCCGAUGUGAGCAUUGGUACUCAACCAGAAGAAGAAAGAAUGCAAGGAGAUCAGACUAUAGGAGCAACUGACUAAUUAAAGCUCAAAUGCAAAGGAAUUAUGAUUUCCAAAUCAAGGGAUCAGAAGCAAAUGCUCUGAUUAAGGAUGGAUAAGUUGAAUAGACUCAGAAUGACAAUCAAUCAAGGCUUGAUUCACCGAACACCAGCUCAUGUCCGGAGUGAUGUCUGAACCAAGGGAAGAAUUUUAAACAGGACUGAUGAUCGCGAGCAUUCACAAAAAAAUCGAAUCAAGUACUCGAAAUUAUGAUGACACGGGAUGCUACCCAUGAGCCCACAACUCCCGAUACCAAGGCCGCCACCCUUCAUCCAGACCCUCCAGAGACCAACAAAGGCACGAGCUUUGAGCCAACCGGCAGAUCCCUAGCCAUCGGAACCGCCGAUGACCGGCCCGCCCUGAACAAUGAUCAACAACAAGUAGGCACUAGGCCAGGAAAAGGGGAGGGGCAACGGAGCUCGUCCAAACCGGUGCACCCCUGUGCCAUUGAUAGGUAGUCGGUCUAUCCGUCCCUCCAGCACCCUACCUUACAUCACCCCUGAUGCCCUACCAUGGCCUCCGACCAGAACCACGUGAGUAAGAGGAAGCCACCCUUCCGCCGGCGAGGGCCACCUUAUCGACCGCACCCUGUUGCCAAAGAAGGCCUCCAAAGGAGCGGCAACCACCACCACACCACCUACGUCUCGAUGCCCUGGCCAAGUCUAGACGGUGGCCCCGCCGCCCCCACCAGGGUAGGACAAACACCAGCUGCAACACUGCCACCUUAGAAGGGCCACCGGUCACUCCUACCGCUUCCAACCGCCACACCUAGCUGGAUCUGGGCAGGGGCUGCCAGAUCCACCGCCAGCACUCCCCCGAGCCUCCAGAUCCCCACGAACUGAGGAGAAGGGGGUAUGAGGGGAGGAGGCGGCACCGACAGACAACUCGGACGCCAAGAGGAGGAGGGAGGUCGGAGCAGAGGCCAGCCGGUGCCCGACGCCACCGCGCAGCGCACCUCUGGAAGUUUGCCACCCGCACGCGUUAGGAAGCCGCCCCGCCGCCACCUGCGCCACGCGGCCUUUGGCCAGGAACGCCACCUGCUACGACAAGGGAGGGGGUGGGGCGAGGAGAUGAGGGAGGCAACGCUAGGGUUACCUCCCGGGGGCGCCACGCAGGAGCGCCUCAGGACGAGAGGGAAAGGGGUGGGUGAGGUAGUCCUGGAUAAGGGGGUAUCCGGACAGCCGGACUAUACACUUUGGCCAGACUGUUGGACUAUGAAGAUACAAGAUUGAAGACUUCGUCCCAUGUCCAGAUGGGACUCUCCUUUGCGUGGAAGGCAAGCUUGCCGAUUCGGAUAUUAGAUCUCCUUCUCUGUAACUGACUCGGUGUAACCCUAGCCCCCUCCGGUGUCUAUAUAAACCGGAGGGUUUAGUCCAUAGGACAAUAACAAUCAUAAUCAUAGGCUAGCUCUUAGGGUUUAGCCUCUAUGAUCUCGUGGUAGAUCAACUCUUGUAAUACUCAUAUCAUCAAGAUCAAUCAAGCAGGAAGUAGGGUAUUACCUCCAUCGAGAGGGCCCGAACCUGGGUGAACAUCGUGUCCCAGUCUCCUGUUACCAUUAGCCUUAGACGCACAGUUCGGGACCCCCUACCCGAGAUCCGACAGUUUUGACACCGAUAUUGGUGCUUUCAUUGAGAGUUCCUCUGUGUCGUUGCUGUAAGGCUCGAUGGCUCCUUUAAUCUUCAACAACAACGCAGUCCAGGGCGAGACUUUUCUCCCCGGACAGAUCUUCGUGUUCGGCGGCUUCGCACUGCGGGCCAACUCGCUUCGCCAUCUGGAGCAGAUCGACAGCUACACCCCUAGCCAUCAGGUCAGGUUCGGAAACUCGAAUUACACGGACGAUAUUCGCGGAGACUUGAUCUUCGACGGAUCCGGGCCUACGCCAGGAGCGCCAAACAGUCACGACAAGCAUGACUUAAAUCUGCUAUCGGACAGUAUUCGGGAUAUCGCACCUGCAGCAGCUCCGGACCUAAAUCCGGGGCAGGUCGCAUCGUCCGAGGACGGGUGGAUGGACCCCGCCACGGAGGUCGCAUACUCUUCGGCGGCAGAGCCGAACACAGAUUCGGCUGUUAAGGAAAUCUGCAUCGCCGGACCCCCGGACUUGUGUCCGGAUGUGGGUUCCGAACCGCGUGCGCCCGGGCCCAUCGUGUCCGAUCGGGCCCCGAUAAUGGAGUUCAUCGUUGCGGAUAUCUUUCAGCACUGCCCCUUCGGCGACGUGUUGAAUUCAUUAAGGUCUCUCUCCUUGUCAGGAGACUCUUGGCUGAACUAUGUACGGCUCGAGUGGGAAGCAGGCGACGAAGAAAUUCGUUACCCACCCACCACCCACUUCAUUGCCACUGUCGAUGAUUUGACCGACGUGCUUGACUUCGACUCUGAGGACAUCGACGGUAUGGAUGACGAUGCAGGAGAAGAACAGGAACCACCGCCCACAGGGCGCUGGACAACCACCUCCUCAUAUGACAUAUAUAUGGUGGACACUCCCAAAGAAAACAAUGGCGAUGAGGCAAUAAAGGAUAACCCCUUAGGGAAGCAAUCAAAGCCUGGGUGUCAUCGGCACCGCUCUAAGCCCCGCUACAGCAAUACUGGCACAAGAGACGAAAACAAUCCGGAUGGUGCCGAAGAGGAAUACAAUCCCAAUCAGCCUACCUUCGAGCAGGCCGAACAGGAAUAUGGGCAGGUUAGCCCAGAUGAAUAGGCGACGGACGGAUACUUGGAGGAUGAUAACUAUAUGCCUCCCUCCGAAGACGAGGUGAGCCUCGGCGAUGAUGAAUUCGGUGUACCGGAGGAUCCCAUAGAGCAGGAGCGCUUCAAGCGCCGGCUUAUAGCCACUGCAAAAAGCGUGAAAAAGAAGCAGCAGCAACUCAAAGCUGAUCAAGAUCUGCUCACAGACAGAUGGGCCGAAGUCCCGGCAGCCGAGGAAUACGGACUCAAGCGCCCCACCAAAGACUACCCAAAGCACAAGUUGCUACCUCAACUCGAGGAGGAGGCUGUAGAGCCUACACUACCAGCACAGGACGAGGCUGACCGGCCACCUCGUGGCCAAGAUAAAACGGCGUAUCAGCCCAAAUACCAGCCCACACCCCCACACCAAUUCACUACGGCCUGGGGCAAUACGCAUGACCUGCGAGAUAUAUUGGAAAACAACGCAGGACAGCCAACAUUGAUCUACGGAUCACGGGGGCGCGCCCCAACAUUUGACGAUGACCGUCAUGCCAGAUACACUACCAACAAGUCCGGCCUGGCCGAACAUCACUAGCCAGACAUAGUCGCACUGCGUAGCGACAUAGCCCGGCACAGAGGCGCCGCACACCCCCUCUGCUUCACUGAUGAGAUAAUGGAUCACGAAUUCCCAGAAGGGUUUAAACCCGCAAACAUCGAAUUAUACGAUGGUACAAUAGAUCCUGCGGUAUGGAUCGAAGAUUUCCUUCUCCACAUUCACAUGGCCCGCGGCGAUGAUCUACAUGCCAUCAAGUACCUUCCCCUUAAACUCAAAAGACCAGCCCAACACGGGCUGAAUAGCCUGCCAGCGAACUCCAUCGGCAGUUGUGAAAACCUGGAGGACGCGUUCCUCAACAACUUUCAAGGCACCUAUAUGCGACCACCGGAUGCUGAUGACUUAGGUCACAUUACCCCGGAGAGUCAGCCAGGAGAUUUUGGACUCGGUUCCUAAUAAAAAAGAACUAAAGCGCCGAAUGUCCAGAUACCAAAGCCAUAGCAGCCUUCAAACAUAAUAUCCGGGCCGAGUGGCUCGCCCGAUACCUCGGCCAAGAGAAACCGAAGUCCAUGGCGGCCCUAACGACACUCAUUACCCACUUUUGUGCGGGCGAAGAUAACUGACUAGCUUGCAGUAACAAAACAAACACCCCUGGCGCAUCAGAGGCCAGAGAUAGCAUCCAUAAACCUCGACGCAACAAACAUAAGCGUCACAAGAAUAAUGAUGACGCCCGCAACACGGCAGUCAAUGCCGGAUUCCGUGGCUCCCAGUCCGGUCAGCGGAAAAGCCACUUCAAAAAAGCAAUUCGGGCCCAUCCGGCCUGGACCGCAUACUUGACCGCCCAUGCCAAAUUCAUGGUACCCCAGGAACGACAGCCAAUCAUACCAACAGAGAAUGCCGGGUCUUCAAACAAUUCGGCCGGUCACACACCGAAAAAAAUAAAGGGGUCUCAAAGCAAUGAAGACAACGAGGAUCCCAUACCAUCAAGCAAUACAGAGCAAAAGAAACUCCUACACAAACCAACAGGGUGAGCGUUAUAAACAUGACCCUAGAGGUUGUCUCCGGAUCAACAAAUAAUCACCAUACCGAAGAGUCAGUCUUCGACACUAUCCCCCUAUACAGUAACUAUUACGUACUGCCGGGACGAACCACGUUGGCUCAAUUCAACGUGGUACCAUACCAGGCCCACGUGACAUAGUCACAAUUACGGGCAAGGCCGAACCCCACUUCAGCGCCGAAGAGCAUACGGCCACUGAAGUAGCGAGUUGUGCCUCUUUACCGAACCUCGAUUUGACAUCCAACCCCCCGGACACCAAUAAAGGAGUCCGAACUACUUCAUGGCAGGAUAGCUCGGCUUGACCAGGCGCCGGUCAAACACCACGUCAUAAGUUGGGAGGGCCACACCCUGCGGUUCAACCGCUCUGUGGCACACAAACGUCUCUCAGCAUUUUCUUUGCAGGUUCGCUUUUGCGGAUAAUAGGACUGGCGUCAUGAAAUCGGCUCGGACGUGCAAAGGGGGAAUCUUUGAACACUCCCCCCGAAGACAAUCCAGACAUACUUUGGAUUCACACACAGCUCCCUCCCGCCCGGUCUAAGCAGGUUACGCCGUCAUACCUCCUUUUUAUAACAUGAACAAUACCCAUACACAUAGACGUAUUACUCGAAUACAACAUGUAGAGUUAUAUGACGCUUAUCUGCUGUUAUUUCUCAUUGACAUUUUUAGUCAUAACGGCAUCCGAAUAUCGUGUUAUGCCUUAAAACGCCAAGGGGCUUCAUUGUACCUGCACUAUGGCAACAAAGUCCGACCACCUUCUCGGUCGCUCGGCACCCCGAACUUAUAGCAUUAUAUGCAUAAGCUCCGAAUCAUGUCUUGGGUCAUUAGUUGGGUUUUCCCGGCUCCCAUGUUUUGAUACCUUACGUUCCGCAAUAUCGGCUAAGGUAGCGCUGGGAGAACUACUGCGAUUGUGUCCUGAUUCUUCCAGACGAGCACCUCAGUAGAGAAAGCCGAAAACUGACUGUCAUGAUAAGGUGAGAGCUGGUCAGCUGUUCGAGAGGUUGUAAAAUCUUUAAGGAUUUAUUCCGCAUAAUGCCAUAAUAAAUGCAGAGUGCGACGGAUCGGUCUACCGAUCAGGUGCUAUUAGAGCCCUCGUGCGGUCUUCCGAACACCAGGGGCUGCGCCUACCAUACUCGAAUUCUUAUGGCCAAGUGAGAGUGAUAAAGCCCUAUAGUCUGAUUGCCUGGUUCGCUGUGCUGACCACCUCCUUUAUGGACCCAAGAAUGGGGUAAAGAGUGUUCAGGUGUAUCCCGAAUACCCCCGUACUUCCUACGUGGGGGCAGAAGCCGACGACUGGCCAACUCUCAAGAUUAAUAUAUAAAAUGGCCGCGCAGGAGGAAAAACUUUCAUAUAACAGGCAGUACAUAAAUAAAGGUGACUUUGUUCCGCCUUACAAAGGACAACAUGAUUGCCUUCAUGGAAAUACAAUGUCUUUGGUACAUUGCUCCGCCACAAGGCGGGCUCCUUUCAGGACACCAUCGUAAUAUAGUUUGGGCUUGCGGUGCUCCUUCCCCUCAGGCGGUCCCUCGGUUAUCAGCUUUUCAGCAUCCAGCUUUCCCUAGUGCGCUUUCGCGCGGGAAAAUGCCAUUCGCGCACCUUCUAUACAGACCGACCGCUUAAUGACGUCAAGUCGAGGACAAGCACUCACAAUUUGCUUCACGAGCCCAAAGUAACUGCUCGGAAUGGGCUCGACGGGCCAUAGCCGGACAAUCAAGUCCUUCAUGGCUAGUUCGGCCGCCUGGUGCAGUUCAACCAGCUGCUUCAGCUGAUCGACAAAUGGCACCGGAUAAUUCGGCGCCAAAUACUGCGACCAGAAGAGCUUUUCCGCAGUCUUCUUCUCCUCAGCUCGAUAGAAUUGAGCAGCAUCAGAUAUGCUGCGUGGAAGCUCCGCAAACGCCCCGGAGAAAUCAGAAGUCAAUUUGUCACCUUGAAUUUCUCCUGUUACGGAAUAAAAAUCGCUUUGCAUAAGAAAAAGCCUUACCAGCCGCAAUCUUCCUCGCCUCCUGAAUGUCCUUCAGAGCACCUUGGGCUUCCUCCCGAGCAUCAGUUGCGGCUUGGAGAGCUUGCGCGAGUUCGGAUUCUUUCAAUGAUAGACUCUGCUCCAAAGUCUCGCUUUUCUGCACGGCGUCGUGAAGCUCUUGUUCAACUUCAAUGACCCUGGCCUCGUGCUUCUCGCAAAGGGCCUACUCCGCGGCUGCCUUCUUUUCGGCUAAGGCCACAACCUUCUUCAGCACCUCAAUUUUGGCAUUCGCCCCUAGAGCGCGCAAUAUAUAUAUACUUUCAUUAGGCACACCUACUUAAUUGUGCUAAACUUAAUAAGGUUUUGACAUACCUUGAUUGUCCUCCAACUGCUUCUUCACCUAGCCAAGUUCUUCUUCGGCCCACUCCAGACUCUGCUUUAGUCCGGAUACUUCCGCAGUAUGAGAGGCGGCAGUCGCUGCAGACGCCUGUUUAAUGUUUAUAAAGGAAGAGAUAUAUGUCAUGCACUGAGUCUCCUAUGGACGGAAAUUUGAUCCCCUGUCUGGUUCCUUCUUUCACCGGACAGUGUAUCAGGGGCUACUAUCUAUACUAUGACAAAUCUUCUAAAAACUCCUAAAACAUACCUCCAAGCCUUUUAUAAGGCCGAUGCAGGAUUCAUUCAGUCCACUUUCAGUGGCCUAAACCUUCUCAAUCACCACGCCCAUAAGGGCGCGAUGUUCAUCGACGAUGGAAGCACUCUUUAGCGCUGUCGAUAAGCUGCCCUGCACCUCUGGUUGGACAGAGGUUGCCGACGUAGCACGAUCACCCCCUCUAGUCAUGGGGGGCUGCCUGCCUAAUCCCAGAGCCUCAAAGGUCUCCGGGAUCAUGUCCGACUAUGGGCCGAAUACAAGAUCGCCCCCGCCGUCGACACUCAUGGGAGCCGCCGCUCCCGUAUAUCCGGCCCCUGAGGUAUGCCCCUCCUGGUCUAGGUCCUUUUGGGACGACACCUCGGUGUCAUGCCCGAGCUUCGGGGAAGGGGCCUUCGGAGGUGUCUCGCUCUCUAGGGCGUCCGAGCUCAACGAAUCCUCCGAUGAGGACUGUUCUACGCGAUACCUAGCCGGACUACAAAAAGUAUGGCACCAAUUAAUUUAUUAUGCCUCAAUAAUCAUGGACGCAUAGAUGUGUUCGGUUUUUGUGUACUCACGAGUCUUCCAGGGGCUGGGCCCUGGGAUCCCACUCCGGGCUGCUAUCGGUAGCCGUAGUGGACGCCUCUGGCAGGGGAGUUUUUCCCCUCUUAGGCAAUUCAGCCUCCAGAGAUGAGGAGGCCAUCCUUUUCUCCCCCCCCCCGUGGGGGACUCGUCUUCUUCCUCCUCCUCUUCCUCUUCAGAGGAGAGAUGGGUAUUGGAGUCUUCAGAUUUUGUGUCCGAAGCACCGCGACGACGGAGGCCACUCCUUGUCUCCUUGGCCUCUUUAUGGGCCUCUUUCUUUGGCGCCUCGUAAGGCGCCAGGACCAGCAUCUUCGUCAGAAGUGGUCCGGCUGGUUCUUCUGGCACCGGGGCUGGACAGUGUAUCCGCCUCGCCCUCUUCGUCCAUCCCUAGGAUAAUUGUGGGAAGCGCGUUAGGGCAUCUUCCCCGGGAUAUGACAAUGAAACAUAUGGAUGGACAAAAUAUAAUGACUACUUACCGGACUUGCAGGGCGGGACAGUUGGUACCCGCGGUCCGCGGUGGAGUCCGGCCACGGUUUGCCGGACUUAAAAAGCACCUUCCAGAUGUCCUUGUGUGAUGAGCCAUAAAGCUCUCGCAGGGUCUGGUGCUCGGCCAGAUCAUACUCCCACAAAUUGCAGGCUCGGUGCUGACAAGGAAGAACCAGGCGGACCAACAUCACCUGGACUACGUCAACAAGCUUGAUGACCUUGUGUUCCAUACCUUUUACGCGUGUGUGGAGAAGGCGAUACUCAAAUUUGUGGCUGGGUGCAUCUGCGGAAGUACUUGCUGAUCUUACCAUGUCAGGUUGUCCUUUGCCCCUCUUAGAUGUUGUAAUGUGUUCUUCACAUGUGACAACACUAAGUGAACCAUUUUGGGCUUCAUUUGCAUUCUAGCAUGGUGGUCUCUCCUAUAGCUAGCUAUAAAUGUUGGCAGUUUCUUCCCUUUUUCUUUGGUGUUGUGGUGCUAAUAGUUAGCAUAGCUGUAGUCGGUGCCCUGUUAUUAUUUGUUAAGUUAGGAUGCUUACGUUGUUUCGUUGUGUAUGUAAGCUGACAAGUAGUACAUCUCCAUUUUUUCAGUUUCAGAAAAAAAAAUGCACUGGAUUGUGCCGGCUGGGGUGCUCUGGCUGGAUUUGGAAAGAAAGAAACAUAUAUAUUGGAGAUGCAUGCGUUUAGAUUUUUUUUUUGCCAUGAGUUCAAUAGUCUCUGUUAAAUCACAGUAAUUUUGUUGCUCUGGCGAGCAGGUUUUCUUAUACAUAUAUUUAUUUUGAAAAUUCAUAGAUGGAUGAAAUGCUGCUGAGACGUUACAAGAUAUUCCAGCAGAGGCAUCCUUACCGUCCGCAUUACAAGGAUAUGAGAACAUUGGGGUCCUGAAGGCAGUGACCUGUUUACCAUAUACAUAUUUACUUCCUUUCUAGGGCGGAACAAUGGAAGGCACAAUUCCAAAUUUUCAAGUACAGCUCUUCAAGAACAGGAUCUCUGAAGGAACAACAAUUUACAAGCUUGGCGCUUACCAGGUUCAAUAUGCUAGGGAAAGAUACAAAACUGUAGAUCGUCCAUGGAGAGUAGUGUUUGCCCAAAAAACUACCGUGGAACCAAUUGUGCCUCAGCCACCAAACUUUCCCAAGUAUGGAUAUACCACCUACAAUGUACACAGUACCAAAGCUGCAUUAAACAAAUCGUUUUGUUGUCAGGUCAGCAACUCUUAAGAAUUGUUUUUAUUGUAUAAUUUUCCACUUCUUACAACUUUCAAUUUACUGAACUUGUGAAUGUUGGAUUAGUUACCAGCAUCACAAGAAUAUUUGCGCCGAGCGGCGGAUCGAUUGACCAGAUAUGAGAAAAUCACAUCACAAAUGUGCACCAACUUUUAUCAUUUUUCAUUCCGUGUUCUUAUCUCUCCACUGAAACAAUGAUAUAUCUUUCCAGAAUUCCCGCCGUUGUGAUGUUUUGGGGAAAAUUAGCAGAUGCCCUUGAUAGUUACAAGCUACAACGGUGGUCUGCUCAAGAACCCAUUAUAGUUCUAUUUGUUGGCAUGCCAGUACAUGAAUUUAAUGUAAGUACGUAUCGUCAUCUUAUAUCCAUCCUGCACAAUUUAGAUAAGAAAUUAAAAUUACCCGUUAAAUUUUUUGUACAGGAAACUUGACCUUCAAGUCCUGUCUGGCAACUCGAUGGUACAUAAAUCCAACUAUUUCUGAAGCGGCAGCUAUUCUAGGAAGGUACACACAGCACAAAUGAUCCAUCUGUGCAACUAAUUUUCAAUAAUCCAGCAUCUGUGUUGACAAAUUUCACAAUAUCUCAGAUCUACUGCAAGAUCCCAUCAAAUUGAGAUAAGCACCAGCUCACAGGGUCAUCGCUAGGCAACAAAUACAACAAACACAUAAUUAUCAGCCGUUGACCCUGGUGGAAUCAUGGUAUGUUGUCAUUGCUAUCAAAGCUACACUAAUGUCUUUCUCCGAGUAACAAUAUUUGGUUUCUUUCUAAAAUAGAUUGACCUGAUGUAACUUGCAGGACCAGUACUAUAAACUGGAAAUAAAGAGAACUGAAGUGUCCCCUUCCAUGGCGUUGGGGGGCCUUUCUCUGCCAGGCGCGGUGGCUCCUUGGUAGGUCGAUGCAGCUUGCUCGGCGGAGGCUAGGAGGCUCGUCGGCCGACAUUUCGUUGAUGCAUGGGUGCCAUAUUGCGAUGGAAAGGCAGUAUAAUAUACAAAACUUUGACGAGGCUCACCUGCUUCAAAAUUUCACAAUAAGGUUUGCCUUUUUUCUCUUUGCAUUUAUUCUGUUAAGUCUUCAGAUUGUUUGUGUUGGCCGACGAAAAAAGAUUUAGGGUCCUAGAUUUCUACUUUAUAUCACUCUGAAAGCCCACUAACCAAUCCAUGCAUUUGGACUUCAGUAGAUAUAAUGGACUAUAUUCACUCACGUUGGCCACAACCUAUUUGAAGAAAUUUCUCUUUUGAUUUAUUGGUGUGAAGUUGUUGUUUCAUAGAUAUAUCUAAGCAAGGAAAGUUUGUUGUAGAGAUAUAUGCAUGUUCUGGCCUUCUAUUCUCGUCCUUUUCAUGUUCGAGAUCAGCGUACUCAUUAGAUUAAAUUUUAGUAUUGCAUCGUUAAGCACUUUCUGGAAUAACAUGCAAUAGGUGUAUGUUCUAUAACCUCUACGCUUUAGCUGGAAAUGGCAACUUGAUUGAACUCGAUCGGUGGUAAGCUUACCUAAAUUCAUACGUACAUAAACAAACUGCACUUCCAUCUCCCUGUAGUCAUAAAGAAGUAUACUGUAAAAUUCAUAGAUGAUCAAUACUAUUUCAUUUGCAUAAACAAACUCAAGGCAUGUACAAAUUUUGGAUCACGAUCUACUAUUUACCAUGCAUCAGUUAACUCAAGGCAUCGACCAAAAUCUAGCGUUCUUUGUUGCGUGCAGCAUGGAGAAGACAGAGAUUGUCUGAUAUAUUCGAUACGCAAUAUAAUUUUCUCUUGCAUAUUUAUAAUCUGCCAUUUGAAUGAUGUUUUUUGUGUUGUAGUCCAAUCAAGACAACUUGCAACUUUGGUGUUGUCACAUUGGAGUCCGUGCUGAGCAGCAAUGGGAGACUGUCGUUGAUGCCCGACCCAUGAUGCCGACGAAGGAACGAGAGUCGAUGAGGAGUAGACGCCAUGGGUUUGUGAACUGGCCAAGCCACCGUUGUCCGUUUGGUAAUGUGACUUGCCCUGAUUUUGACGUCGUCUACCAACAUCCGACGAAGGGAACCCGUCCCGGUUUCCAUCUUGAUGGUAAGUUCUCUAAUCUUCUAUCUCAUGGGAUGUGAUGUGGUUGCCUUCAUUUUGGCUUUUGACAAAGGGUUGAAAUUAGCUUAUGUGCUUCCGACGAUUGAAAUUCCAGUUAUAUUAUCAACCUUCAGCGAGCAGUGACAACGAACUCCAUCCCCCCACCACACCACACCCAUGUUUCAUUUGAUGUGCUUUAAGCCAUGUUUCAGCUUGUCUCGACCCAGCAUGUAUUUUUUGUUUCAGUUGUUGAGCUCNNNNNNNNNNGCACUACAAAACUGAGAAAGACCCAUAACUUUUUACAGGUCAGCCAUGUUUACUAAAAUAUAUAAUUUCUAAAACAUUUCCAGCAAUAUGUGAGUUGUUUGCUUGCUCAACCUUACGCUAGGAUCGUUUCUACAUACUACAAAUAGAGGGAAGUUGGCUUGUGCCUUACUAGAGACAGAUGAACCAAUAAAAUGAUUGGAAAGGCUCUUUCCAAGCAUAAGGUAAGCUGAAUCUUGUACAACUUACUUCCUAAUGUAUUUUGGUCAGUAUGUUGUUUAUUUUAUGAAAUUGAUACUCCAUUGUAGAGGAGCUUUUGAAGGGACUGAAGAACCGGAACCUCCCCUCCUCCCUCCCGCGACGCUCCCGCAGGCGUCCGGGGGGCAACCCUAGCACCGCCGCCGGUCCCCCCUCCUCCUCUCCCUCCGCCCUCGCGGCCGCCCGGGGGCGCGAGCGGGCGAAGCCCGCUCAUCGCUGGCGGCGGCGGGGCCUUCUCGUCUCCGCGCGUGGGGGUUUCUNNNNNNNNNNNNNNNNNNNNNNNNNNNNNNNNNNNNNNNNNNNNNNNNNNNNNNNNNNNNNNNNNNNNNNNNNNNNNNNNNNNNNNNNNNNNNNNNNNNNNNNNNNNNNNNNNNNNNNNNNNNNNNNNNNNNNNNNNNNNNNNNNNNNNNNNNNNNNNNNNNNNNNNNNNNNNNNNNNNNNNNNNNNNNNNNNNNNNNNNNNNNNNNNNNNNNNNNNNNNNNNNNNNNNNNNNNNNNNNNNNNNNNNNNNNNNNNNNNNNNNNNNNNNNNNNNNNNNNNNNNNNNNNNNNNNNNNNNNNNNNNNNNNNNNNNNNNNNNNNNNNNNNNNNNNNNNNNNNNNNNNNNNNNNNNNNNNNNNNNNNNNNNNNNNNNNNNNNNNNNNNNNNNNNNNNNNNNNNNNNNNNNNNNNNNNNNNNNNNNNNNNNNNNNNNNNNNNNNNNNNNNNNNNNNNNNNNNNNNNNNNNNNNNNNNNNNNNNNNNNNNNNNNNNNNNNNNNNNNNNNNNNNNNNNNNNNNNNNNNNNNNNNNNNNNNNNNNNNNNNNNNNNNNNNNNNNNNNNNNNNNNNNNNNNNNNNNNNNNNNNNNNNNNNNNNNNNNNNNNNNNNNNNNNNNNNNNNNNNNNNNNNNNNNNNNNNNNNNNNNNNNNNNNNNNNNNNNNNNNNNGUUGCCCGUCCGGGCCCUUGCGGCAGGUCGAUGUCACACGGCGCUGGAGACUCCCCUGGUGGCCAUCCAUGGAUGCGGCGGUGGGCUCUGCUUCCUCAUUAGAUUAAAUUUUGGUAUUACAUUUUUUAGCACUUAAUGUGAAUGUUCUAUAGUCUCUAUUGUGCAGGCGGGUCUACUCUCCCUCUUGAGGCGAGUGUGGAUGUAAUGGAUAUUGAUUGUGGUUGUUCGGACAAAAAUAUUGCAUGGAAACAUUAUAUACUGAUGGUGAGACUUCCAAUUCCUUUAUGUUUUGUCCGUUUAAUCAAGAAC
RNAcentral lists this long non-coding RNA (17296 nucleotides) under Triticum aestivum (bread wheat). RNAcentral's name for it is "long non-coding RNA (TAES_LNC017176)". Lineage: Eukaryota; Viridiplantae; Streptophyta; Magnoliopsida; Poales; Poaceae. The record is from RNAcentral.